This 497-nucleotide ribosomal RNA is filed under the name uncultured Prevotella sp. RNAcentral's name for it is "bacterial SSU rRNA". It matches the Rfam family "Bacterial small subunit ribosomal RNA", at positions 21 to 507 of the family's 1533-position model. The record is from RNAcentral. Lineage: Bacteria; Pseudomonadati; Bacteroidota; Bacteroidia; Bacteroidales; Prevotellaceae.
GGCUCAGGAUGAACGCUGGCUACAGGCUUAACACAUGCAAGUCGAGGGGAAACGACGGGGAAGCUUGCUUCCCCGGGCGUCGACCGGCGCACGGUGAGUAACGCGUAUCCAACCUGCCUCUGACUGAGGGAUAACCCGUCGAAAGUCGGCCUAAUACCUCAUGGCAUCGUCUGCGGGCAUCCAACGACGAUUAAAGAUUUCAUCGGUCAGGGAUGGGGAUGCGUCUGAUUAGCUUGUUGGCGGGGUAACGGCCCACCAAGGCUACGAUCAGUAGGGGUUCUGAGAGGAAGGUCCCCCACAUUGGAACUGAGACACGGUCCAAACUCCUACGGGAGGCAGCAGUGAGGAAUAUUGGUCAAUGGGCGAGAGCCUGAACCAGCCAAGUAGCGUGCAGGAUGACGGCCCUAUGGGUUGUAAACUGCUUUUAUGCGGGGAUAAAGUGAUGGACGUGUCCUUCAUUGCAGGUACCGCAUGAAUAAGGACCGGCUAAUUCCGUG